RNAcentral lists this ribosomal RNA (468 nucleotides) under uncultured bacterium. RNAcentral describes it as "partial 16S ribosomal RNA". It matches the Rfam family "Bacterial small subunit ribosomal RNA", at positions 28 to 507 of the family's 1533-position model. The record is from RNAcentral.
GACGAACGCUGGCGGUGUGCUUAACACAUGCAAGUCGAACGGUAAGGCCCUUUCGGGGGUACACGAGUGGCGAACGGGUGAGUAACACGUGAGUAACCUGCCCUCAUCUCUGGGAUAACAGUCGGAAACGGUUGCUAAUACUGGAUAUGAGCUUGCAAGGCAUCUUGUGGGUUGGAAAGAUUUUUUUUGGUUGGGGAUGGACUCGCGGCCUAUCAGCCUGUUGGUGAGGUAGUGGCUCACCAAGGCUUCGACGGGUAGCCGGCCUGAGAGGGCGACCGGCCACAUUGGGACUGAGAUACGGCCCAAACUCCUACGGGAGGCAGCAGUGGGGAAUAUUGCACAAUGGACGGAAGUCUGAUGCAGCAACGCCGCGUGCGGGAUGACGGCCUUCGGGUUGUAAACCGCUUUCAAUUGUGACGAAGCUUUUUUGUGACGGUAGCAGUAGAAGAAGCACCGGCUAACUACGUG